AGCGCCACCCAGCGGUGAAGAGGCGGAACUGCAGCUUCUGACCCACAUGUGGCCGGCCGCCUUUAAAUCUACCGCGAUUACGAGAGCAAGGGCUCAUGAAAGUCCACGAAAAGUGUAUGUUUUCGCGCUGAGGAGCGUCCUGCGUGCUAGUAUAUGAUCUGAAGGCCGCGGAGGCACGCGCUCGGAGUGAAUCAAGACUCAGAGCUGCUGUGACCCGGAGCCAAAGAUGCAAGAGGGGCCAGGAAAGGGUGGGCAGAGCUCAGAUGAGAGUUUGGAGGAAGAGGAGGCUCAGCGGUGCCCGAUCUGUCUGAACCGACCCAGACGGACGGAGAGAGCCGUACCUGACUGCUGCAGACAUGUCUACUGCUUGGACUGCAUCCGCCGCUGGGCUCAGAUGGUUCGUUCCUGCCCAGUGGACCGCAGACCCUUCAGCAUGAUCUACCUGCAGGGUUCCUCGCAGCGGUGCAUCAAGCUUCCUGUGAAGACGGCCAGACUUUCAGAGAUGCACACAUGCUGCAGUCAGGACGGUGAACGAAUGUGUCCCGUCUCUGUGGAAGAGACAGGAAGUGCAGAGAGAAACACAAGAGGAAAGAGCUAACGCCAAACUGAAAUGCCACAGAAAAUCAGGUGAUUCAGAUGAAUCUUUGGAUAAAAACAGGAAGGAGAAAGGAGACUCGUGCCACUCUCUUCUGCUCACUCAGCAUUGUCCCUCAUCACUGCCCGGCCAGCAGGGGGCGAUGGUCGGUACCCUGACGCAGAUCAUGACAGGAUCUGUUGAGGUUUGUGAGGAAGGACCAGAUGAUAUCCAGUGGAGGAGAUUAGAGCGAAAACGCAGGUGGCUUCCUGCCUCGGUACCUGCCCCCUCUACAGAUGUGUCCAGGGUGUCACUCCGCUCACACCUGCUUCUGUCAGCGGUCUCUGCCUCUCUGAAUGUGCUGCUUUCUGAACCCACAGGUAGGUCCAC
Carassius auratus (goldfish) is the source of this 964-nucleotide long non-coding RNA. RefSeq lists it as uncharacterized. The record is from RefSeq and is a predicted model, not a curated record. Lineage: Eukaryota; Metazoa; Chordata; Actinopteri; Cypriniformes; Cyprinidae. The transcript is spliced from 10 exons.